Molecule: non-coding RNA, 168 nt
Filed under: Candidatus Microgenomates bacterium
Lineage: Bacteria; Candidatus Microgenomatota
Description: Microgenomates bacterium GlcN6P sequence
Rfam family: glmS glucosamine-6-phosphate activated ribozyme aptamer
About the family: This entry contains a glucosamine-6-phosphate activated ribozyme that is found in the mRNA for GlmS.
Source: RNAcentral
CAUUGUUAUAUAGCGUGUGGCCCCCAUCUGCAUUGGCAGCGGGGAUACGAGGAGAGGGCUAGCGAAUAAUCUGCGGGUACCCUCAGGCCGAAGCCAAGCUGUCGACCUUAAGUGUGCUCUUAAAUCCUUCUGGCAACAGAAGGGACACGGGAGCUUGCAUACAGCAUA